Molecule: ribosomal RNA, 463 nt
Filed under: uncultured bacterium
Lineage: Bacteria
Description: partial 16S ribosomal RNA
Rfam family: Bacterial small subunit ribosomal RNA
Source: RNAcentral
GACGAACGCUGGCGGCGUGCUUAACACAUGCAAGUCGAGCGGAAAGGCCACUUCGGUGGUACUCUAGCGGCGAACGGGUGAGUAACACGUGAGUAAUCUGCCCCUCCCUUUGGGAUAGCCACCGGAAACGGUGAUUAAUACCGGAUAUGACCAUAUGUCGCAUGGCGUUUGGUGGAAAGUGUUGCGGUGAGUGAUUUUCUCGCGGCCUAUCAGCUUGAUGGUGAGGGAAUGGCUCACCAGGGCUUGGAUGGGUAGGCGGCCUGAGAGGGUGACCGGUCACCAUGGGACUGAGACACGGACCAGAAUGCUACGGGAGGCAGCAGUGGGGAAUCUUGGACAAUGGGCGGAAGCCUGAUACAGAAACGCCGCGUGCGGGAUGACGGGCUUCGGGUUGUAAACCUCUUUCAGUACAGACGAAGCGCAAGUGACGGUAGGUACAGAAGAAGCACCGGCUAACUACGUG